CGUCUAUAUACGUAUAGCAUAUCAAUAAGCGGAGGAAAAGAAACUAACAAGGAUUCCCUUAGUAACGGCGAGUGAAGCGGGAAGAGCUCAAAUUUGAAAUCUUCAAGGUUUUACCUUGACGAAUUGUAGUUUAAAGAAGUGUUUUCUGUUGAAGUUUUGGUAAAAGUUCUUUGGAAUAGGACAUCAUAGAGGGUGAGAAUCCCGUAUUUGACUGUUACUUUCCAGCUGUGUGAUACACUUUCAAAGAGUCGGAUUGUUUGGGAAUGCAGUCCAAAAUGGGUGGUAAAUUUCAUCUAAAGCUAAAUAUUGGCGAGAGACCGAUAGCGAACAAGUACCGUGAGGGAAGAUGAAAAGAACUUUGAAAAGAGAGUUAAACAGUACGUGAAAUUGUCAAAAGGGAAGCGUUUGACACCAGUGUUGUUUUUCCGAAAAUCAAUUAUAGAUGUUUUGUUUCUGAGGAGUGAUGACUUCAUCGGCUUCCUUCUCUCUUUACGAAACUUUUGUAAUGCACUUUUCGGUUAACAAGUCAACAUCAAUUUCUUUUGUUGUAAAAGAGUAUUCGGAAGGUGGCUUUCUUUUCGGAGAAAGUGUUUAUAGCCCUAUACUUCUACAAUCGGAGAGAUUGAGGUCUGCAGCGUAGAUCCUUCGGGGUUAGAUACAUUUGUGCCAAGUUGUAGCUUUUCAUAGACAACUUGUUGACUAUGUUUAGUCUUGUAGCUUACUCGCUGACGCUAUUUUACCUACGCUUAGGAUGUUGACUGAUAUGUAGUCGUA
RNAcentral lists this ribosomal RNA (774 nucleotides) under uncultured Neocallimastigales. Its description in RNAcentral is "partial large subunit ribosomal RNA". It matches the Rfam family "Eukaryotic large subunit ribosomal RNA", at positions 26 to 644 of the family's 3401-position model. The record is from RNAcentral. Lineage: Eukaryota; Fungi; Neocallimastigomycota; Neocallimastigomycetes; Neocallimastigales.